Megachile rotundata (alfalfa leafcutting bee) is the source of this 779-nucleotide long non-coding RNA. The record is from RefSeq and is a predicted model, not a curated record. NCBI's taxonomy places the organism in Eukaryota, Metazoa, Arthropoda, Insecta, Hymenoptera, Megachilidae.
GAUUCUAUCGGUAUUUCGAAUAAACGAAUCGUUCGAAACUAAUGUGCGAUGCGCCAUGCGCUAACGAGCGAAAGAAAAACAACCGCGACGGCCGUAGCAUCUGGAGAAUGUCGUCUGUCACCGCCUUCGAGGUUCGGCUCGUAGGACCCUUUCUCAACGGAACAGAUUUUUCGGCAGUGACGCGGCAUUCUAGCUUCGGACCGAGUGCAACGCGCAUCGUCUUCGUUGCGAAAACGUUUUCGAAGAAACACGAGAACGCGUUAUUCCAGCAGGUAUUAGAAUAAAUCUGACUACUGAACGAGGGAAAAGUGUUGGCAAACCCAAAGUAAAUAAAAUAUCGAGGUGAACAACGUGCACUUCGAUACUGUGCUUUCUCCAAGCGAAGGGUACUUCUCGAAGGUUCAACCGUUACUUUGAAAAGAGCAGGCCACGUAAUAAAAGAUUGUCCUCAACCUUUUAUACCAAUUUUGCCGAGGCGAACAUUUUUCUGCCGACCUACGGCCAGACGCGUCGCUCAUCGGCCUCAACCGUAUUAUCUAAUACAUCAUAAUAUGAUAUACGUGUAACAUCGUAUUUCGUAUAUUCGUAACGAACCGUCUUGGACGUCGCAAGUAUCUCCGGAGUAUUCGUGAGUAUCAGUGACUCGCAACGUUUGCAACGCUCGAGUUCGGUAACUACGCUUUCCCUCCAGACGAUGCAAUUAUAUGAAAUAAAAUAAAGAAGCCGCUUAAAUAUAUCGGAUCGGAUCGAUCGCGAGACGAACGAUACGAGCAAAAAAA